Non-coding RNA from Oryza sativa Japonica Group (Japanese rice), 477 nucleotides. NCBI's taxonomy places the organism in Eukaryota, Viridiplantae, Streptophyta, Magnoliopsida, Poales, Poaceae. The record is from RefSeq and is a predicted model, not a curated record.
CCUUUUUUCUUUUUCCCCCACCUUCUUCUACCUCCAGCUCUCUCUCUCUCCUUCUUGAGCUGCAAGCCUGGGGAAGCCAAGCCCCAAGCCCACGUGCCGCCUCGGCCUGGCCUCCUCCUCCUCUCUGUGUCGCCAGCCCAAGCCACCGCCGACCGAGCCCGCGCCAGCCGCGCCGCAAGCCCACACGGCCGCCGCCAAAUCCCGCAAGCCGCGCCGCCAAAUUCGGAGCCGCCGCCUUUCCAAAGCUUGCGCAGUGCGCCCUAACCCUAGCUACUCCCUCCUCUAUAAAUACCGUCGGCCCCCGCCCCCUUUUCCCCCUUUUUUUCCAAAGCCGCCGCCAUCUCCACCGUGAGCAGCCGCCGCCGGGAGCCGCGCCGUUAUCGUCACCGUCUUCCUACCGCACCGCAGCCGCUGAUGUUGGAGCGGAAGAGCAGUUUGCUCCAGAAGACGCUGUGCAAGGACAAUACUGGGAUCAAG